CCCACCCCAAAUUCACAUGUUGAAGCCCUAACCUCCAAUGUGAUGGUAUUUGGAGAUGGGGCCUUUGGAAGGUAAUUAAGGCUAGAUAGGGUCACAAGGUUGGUCCCCUUAUGAUGGCAUUUGUGUUCUUAUACAAAGAGACAGGAGACUCUCUCCAUCAUGUGAAGAUACAGCAAAACAGCAGCUGUCUGCAAGCCAGGAAGGGAACCCUCACCAGGAACCAAACCAUGAUCUCGGACGUCCCAGCCUCUAGGAACAAAUUGGCUCUUCCUCCUGCUGGUCCUGAGGCACUCCAUGUUCAUCCUAAGAAAGGUCACUUGCUCUGGGGAAAGCCACCUGCCAUGCCGUGAGGACAUUCAAACUGCCUAUGGAGAGGUCCACAUAGUGAAAAACUAAGGCCCCUGCCAAAACCCAUGUGAGCCAUCUUGGAAACAGAUCCUUCAGCCCUAGGCAAGCCCUUAGAUAAUGUAGUGCCAGCCAACAUCUUGACAGCAGCCUGCAAGAGACUCUGAGUUAGAAACAACCAGCGAAGCCAUUCCUGAAUUCCUAAUCCUCAGAAUCAGCAUGAUAAUAGUAAAUGCUUAUUAUCAGAUACCAUCAGCAUAAUGUCAUCAAUGCAGUGGACCAGUGUGACAUGGGGAACAUAAAGAUGGUCACGAUUUUUGCAGACUCCAUAUGCAAAGUAUUAUAGGCCUUUCCAUCUAUCCGGAGUGACCUACCAGAGACAGGACAGUUUGACCAGCAAGCUUCUGAUCACUCUUCAACACCCAGCAAGAAGUCUUAUCCUCCAUGCAGCCUUCUAAGACCUCUCUAAGCACAGGUAUCAGAUCCUCCUCUGGAUCACUCUGUCUUGUUACUGCAUUUAUCUCACUGGAUUUCAGUGACGUGUGUAGACAACUAAUUUGUGCCUGCCUGAUCUGUGAGCUCUUCAUUCAAAGCAGUUGGCUCCUGAGUACAGGAUAAACCCCUAGAAUUGAAUAAAUUUGGUCUUACCUCA
This 997-nucleotide long non-coding RNA is filed under the name Homo sapiens (human). RNAcentral describes it as "HSALNT0381334". The record is from RNAcentral. Lineage: Eukaryota; Metazoa; Chordata; Mammalia; Primates; Hominidae.